UACGUAGGGGGCGAGCGUUGUCCGAAGUUACUGGGCGUAAAGCGCGCGUAGGCGGCUUAUUAAGUGACUGGUGAAAUCCCCGGGCUCAACCCGGGGUGGUCUGGUCAUACUGGUAAGCUAGAGUGUGGGAGGGGAGAGCGGAACUCCUGGUGUAGCGGUGAUAUGCGUAGAGAUCAGGAAGAACACCCGUGGCGAAGGCGGCUCUCUGGACCAUAACUGACGCUGAGGUGCGAAAGCCAGGGGAGCGAACGGG
RNAcentral lists this ribosomal RNA (253 nucleotides) under uncultured bacterium. RNAcentral's name for it is "partial 16S ribosomal RNA". It matches the Rfam family "Bacterial small subunit ribosomal RNA", at positions 524 to 776 of the family's 1533-position model. The record is from RNAcentral.